AUUGAACGCUGGCGGCAGGCCUAACACAUGCAAGUCGAGCGAGCGGCGGACGGGUGAGUAAUGUCUGGGAAACUGCCUGAUGGAGGGGGAUAACUACUGGAAACGGUAGCUAAUACCGCAUCCCAUCAGAUGUGCCCAGAUGGGAUUAGCUCGUAGGGGGGGUAAUGGCUAACCUAGGCGACGAUCCCUAGCUGGGCUGAGAGGAUGACCAGCCACACUGGAACUGAGACACGGGCAAGACUCGUACGGGAGGCAGCAGUGGGGAAUAUUGCACAAGGGGCGCAAGCCGGAUGCAGCAAUGCCGCGUGUAUGAAGAAGGCCUUCGGGUUGUAAAGUACUUUCAGCGAGGAGGCGUGACUCGCAGAAGAAGCACCGGCUAACUCCGUGCCAGCCGCCGCGGUAAUAC
RNAcentral lists this ribosomal RNA (406 nucleotides) under uncultured bacterium. RNAcentral's name for it is "partial 16S ribosomal RNA". It matches the Rfam family "Bacterial small subunit ribosomal RNA", at positions 29 to 526 of the family's 1533-position model. The record is from RNAcentral.